AUGUUCAGGAUCCACCAGAGACCCAGGAAGGCGCUGGAAUUUGUCACAGGGAUCAGCAGCGAUCGUGGAGACACCGAGUACACGCUGGGACCUCAGCACCUGGAGCUGUAUCCGGAAGCUCAGCCCCUUCAGGAAGUCCGGGCGGCCGUGACCCUGCUGGAGUCCGGGGGGGACCUCCAGCCCCCCGGGGGGUCCCUGCGCCUCCUCUGCCGAGGGGAUGGAUUUGAUUUUGGGAAAUUUGAGAUGGACUGGUAUCGCCAGAGACCCGGGAAGGGGCUGGAAUACGUUGCAGAGAUCAGCAGCGAUGGUGGCACCACGUACUACGCUCCAUCCGUGCGUGGCCGGUUCACCAUCAGCAGGGACAACGGGCAGAGCUCGGUGACGCUGAGCAUGAACAACCUCCAGGACGAGGAUUCCGGGGUUUAUUUCUGUGCCAGAACGUAUGAUGAUGGUGGUGGUUAUGCUGUUUAUCGU
This is a non-coding RNA of Poecile atricapillus (Black-capped chickadee), 474 nucleotides long. The record is from the annotation of a RefSeq genome assembly. NCBI's taxonomy places the organism in Eukaryota, Metazoa, Chordata, Aves, Passeriformes, Paridae.